AUGUGGGAGGCAGUCCAGGACAGCAACGUCGACCACCUAGAGGAUCGACGGGCGCUGGACGCCCUCAUCGCCGCAGUCCCGCCCGAGAUGCAGUUCUUGCUUUCCAACAAGCGGACUGCCAAGGAGGCUUGGGACGCCAUCGCCGCAGCACGCAUCGGCAGCGACCGUGCUCGCAAGUCCACCCUGCAGGCACUUCGUAAGGAGUGGGAGAACCUGGGCUUCAAGCCAGGUGAGGACGUUGAUGACUUUGCUCUCCGUCUCAACACUCUGCUGCAGAAGAUGGUGAAGUUUGGCGAUGCCACCUACACCGAGGAGAGAGCUGUCGAGAAGCUUUUUCGGUGCAUUCCCGAGAAGUACAAGCAGAUGGCUCGCUCGAUCGAGUCGUUGCUGGACCUCUCCACGAUGACGAUCGAGGAGGCGAUAGGUCGACUCAAGGUCGUCGACACCGACGAGCCACAGCCCCCCUCGGGGCCCGUCACCACCGGCGGGAAGCUGCUCCUAACUCGGGAGCAAUGGGAUCCCAGCCUUGGUGACAAGAAGGGGGAGCCUUCCUCCUCGACGGGCGGCCGCAAGCGUGGCAAGCAGCGUAAGGCGCGAAGAGGCCCCCCGGGCAGGGCACAAGGACGUGCCGAAGGUGACGCCCGCGGAGGCGCCAAGGACGGCGCCGCUGGCAAGCCCAGGCCGGCACAAGACAACAGUUGCCACAACUGUGGCCGGUUUGGCCAUUGGGCCAAUGAGUGUCGGCAACCACGAUAA
This 756-nucleotide ribosomal RNA is filed under the name Triticum aestivum (bread wheat). Its description in RNAcentral is "partial small subunit ribosomal RNA". The record is from RNAcentral. Lineage: Eukaryota; Viridiplantae; Streptophyta; Magnoliopsida; Poales; Poaceae.